RNAcentral lists this ribosomal RNA (254 nucleotides) under uncultured bacterium. RNAcentral describes it as "partial 16S ribosomal RNA". It matches the Rfam family "Bacterial small subunit ribosomal RNA", at positions 524 to 776 of the family's 1533-position model. The record is from RNAcentral.
CACGUAGGGUGCGAGCGUUGUCCGGAAUUAUUGGGCGUAAAGAGCUCGUAGGCGGUGUGUCGCGUCGGCCGUGAAAACUUGGGGCUUAACUCUGAGCGUGCGGUCGAUACGGGCAUCACUUGAGUUCGGCAGGGGAGACUGGAAUUCCUGGUGUAGCGGUGAAAUGCGCAGAUAUCAGGAGGAACACCGGUGGCGAAGGCGGGUCUCUGGGCCGAUACUGACGCUGAGGAGCGAAAGCAUGGGGAGCGGACAGG